Phocoena sinus (vaquita) is the source of this 1665-nucleotide long non-coding RNA. Lineage: Eukaryota; Metazoa; Chordata; Mammalia; Artiodactyla; Phocoenidae. The record is from Ensembl.
AUCAACUCAAAGGAAAGUGCUGGAAAUCCACACUUGUAACUUCUGGCUAGUUUUUAAAGCACCUUGAAAUUCUUAUAACACUAUUAAUGAUGAUGAAAACAUUAAAAUAUUUACCCAGGUUUUCCUCUAAGUGAUAACUAGGGUGCUUAUAACUGGUAACCAAGUAUUCUAUAACUUUCUUACUGAAUUUUCUUCUGCUUUGCAACACAGACUAAUCUGUAUUAAGUCACCUUUGGUCCAGGUGGUGGAGAAGGAACAAGGAAAAGCAAUAAGCUGUUAAAUGACCUGUCCCAGUGUAGAAAAUCCAAAGGACAGAAUAUGGAAUCAUAUCAGAUGUUUUGUUUACACUUUGUUGGGCAACUUAGGCCCACCUGCUAAGAAAAUAUGUUUAAGUCACCUUCAAGGGUGGCUAAACUUAUUGAUGUUUUAGGUAAUAAAAGAGGCACUCAUUUCAACACAAAAGACUUGGAGUCGAUGGGGUAUCAUUUCUGUGAUUCUCUCUUGAACUACUGUGAUCCAGACCGAACCAAGGUAAGUAAAGUCCAUUUGAUGAUACAUCAGACUCCAGUCUCUCAGAUAACAUAACCUGUCUAUGGGCCUACAGUAGUUUGUUCCUUUUAAUAUCCUAACAGUGUUAGUGUUUUUUGUACUUGAUGUUCCAGGUAUCUAUAAAUAUUCAGUUUAAUUAGGAAAUAGUUAUUUUAUAAUUAACUCAUCUAUCAUUUUCCCCUAGUAUUAUCAGUGCCUGAAAGAAUUAGAAGAAAUGGAAAAACAUAUAAACUUGGAAGAAGUCCUUGAUGAUUCAGAUACUUCUCCGAAAGAAAUUACAUUGGAUCUAGAGUCUAGUGGCCAUGGCUCUGACAGUUCAGAAUCCAGUGACUCUCAGACUGAUCUUCUCAAGUUAAGUUCUCAGAAAAAAAACAAGAAAAAACAUCUGAAAACAAAGAAGGAAAGAAACUCUACCACAGCAAGCCAUCAGAGAAGAGCAAGAGGUUUGUGAAAAAGGAAAUUUAGUUCAAAGACACAAAGAAUCAAAUUCUGAUGUGACAGAUACAAGGCCAGAUAUAUCAGAUGACUGUACAUUUGAUUAUUUCAGAAGACAGUUCCCUAAUCAAGCAAAAAUACCCGGACAAGCCCCUUCUUGGCUUCUAAAAAGAUAUUUGAGAUCUGCAGUACAACUUAAAAAGCAAUAUGAAAGAACGUCCAUCUUUUCAAAGCAAGAAGCCUGGAGUAAACUGGACAGAUGAUGAAAAAAGAAUCUACAGGGAUAAAAAAAAUAGCUGAAACUCAAGAAAUACUGCAGUAUUUGCUCCCCAUCAUGAAAAGCACUAAAAAUGUGCAAACUACUCAGAGAAAACAGACACUCAAUCCAAGAACCAACUUUCAAAUCCAACAUAAGUCAAUACAUUUUGUCAUUCUUAGCUAUUUAAUACAUAUGCUCUUUUAUAAGGAAACAAGGCUUAUUAAAUUCAUCAUCCUAAGAAACAAACAUAGGCUUUUAAAAAUACUGGCAGCUACACCAUGUCUGACAAAGGGAGAAAGGCCCAACGCCUUAAGAAAACACUGGAUAUGUGAAGGAGUAGGUUGUCAGGCCUUAUUUGAUUGUUUGUUUACGUGAAACCGCUCAUUAAUUUGGAUCUAUGAAUAAAGUACGCAUUAAUAAAG